AAUGGUUCAAGUUAGGAAGUGCAUCACCUAACAAAUGAGACUUGAAUUAUCCAGAUUAGGAAGCGCAUCUUCUAAGGGUUGAAUUUUUACCAUAAUUUGAUUAUCAAACCCGUGCAACAACAUUAUUUCCUGCAUUUGUGGAAAUGAGGCAUUGCAACCCUUGAUAUUUAUACUCUAAAGUACUUGAUUUGAAAGUAACAUGUUUCCUGUUUCAUCAAAGAAAAUUUGUGAUUUCAAAAACAUGG
RNAcentral lists this long non-coding RNA (245 nucleotides) under Capsicum annuum. Its description in RNAcentral is "long non-coding RNA (CANN_LNC003407)". Lineage: Eukaryota; Viridiplantae; Streptophyta; Magnoliopsida; Solanales; Solanaceae. The record is from RNAcentral.